AUGCAGCGACGCCGCGUGAGGGAUGACGGCCUUCGGGUUGUAAACCUCUUUCAGCAGGGAAGAAGCGAAAGUGACGGUACCUGCAGAAGAAGCGCCGGCUAACUACGUGCCAGCAGCCGCGGUAAUACGUAGGGCGCAAGCGUUGUCCGGAAUUAUUGGGCGUAAAGAGCUCGUAGGCGGCUUGUCACGUCGGAUGUGAAAGCCCGGGGCUUAACCCCGGGUCUGCAUUCGAUACGGGCUAGCUAGAGUGUGGUAGGGGAGAUCGGAAUUCCUGGUGUAGCGGUGAAAUGCGCAGAUAUCAGGAGGAACACCGGUGGCGAAGGCGGAUCUCUGGGCCAUUACUGACGCUGAGGAGCGAAAGCGUGGGGAGCGAACAGGAUUAGAUACCCUGGUAGUCCACGCCGUAAACGU
This 411-nucleotide ribosomal RNA is filed under the name bacterium. Its description in RNAcentral is "bacterial SSU rRNA". It matches the Rfam family "Bacterial small subunit ribosomal RNA", at positions 386 to 809 of the family's 1533-position model. The record is from RNAcentral.